GAUGAACGCUGGCGGCGUGCCUAAUACAUGCAAGUCGAGCGAACAGACGAGGAGCUUGCUCCUCUGACGUUAGCGGCGGACGGGUGAGUAACACGUGGAUAACCUACCUAUAAGACUGGGAUAACUUCGGGAAACCGGAGCUAAUACCGGAUAAUAUAUUGAACCGCAUGGUUCACUAGUUAAAGACGGUUUUGCUGUCACUUAUAGAUGGAUCCGCGCCGCAUUAGCUAGUUGGUAAGGUAACGGCUUACCAAGGCAACGAUGCGUAGCCGACCCGAGAGGGAGAUCCGCCAGAUGGGAAGUGAGACACGGUCCAGACACCUACGGGAAGCAGCAGUAGGGAAUCUUCCGCAAUGGAGGAAAGCGUGACGGAGCAACGCCGCGUGAGGGAUGAAGGUCUUCGGAUCGUAAAACUCUGUUAUUAGGGAAGAACAAAUGUGUAAGUAACUAUGCACGUCUUGACGGUACCGAAUCAAAAAGCCACGGCUAACUACGUG
Molecule: ribosomal RNA, 497 nt
Filed under: uncultured bacterium
Lineage: Bacteria
Description: partial 16S ribosomal RNA
Rfam family: Bacterial small subunit ribosomal RNA
Source: RNAcentral